RNAcentral lists this ribosomal RNA (497 nucleotides) under uncultured bacterium. Its description in RNAcentral is "partial 16S ribosomal RNA". It matches the Rfam family "Bacterial small subunit ribosomal RNA", at positions 28 to 507 of the family's 1533-position model. The record is from RNAcentral.
GAUGAACGCUGGCGGCGUGCCUAAUACAUGCAAGUCGAGCGAACAGACGAGGAGCUUGCUCCUCUGACGUUAGCGGCGGACGGGUGAGUAACACGUGGAUAACCUCCCUAUAAGACUGGGAUAACUUCGGGAAACCGGAGCUAAUACCGGAUAAUAUAUUGAACCGCAUGGUUCAAUAGUGAAAGACGGUUUUGCUGUCACUUAUAGAUGGAUCCGCGCCGCAUUAGCUAGUUGGUAAGGUAACGGCUUACCAAGGCAACGAUGCGUAGCCGACCUGAGAGGGUGAUCGGCCACACUGGAACUGAGACACGGUCCAGACUCCUACGAGAGGCAGCAGUAGGGAAUCUUCCGCAAUGGGCGAAAGCCUGACGGAGCAACGCCGCGUGAGUGAUGAAGGUCUUCGGAUCGUAAAACUCUGUUAUUAGGGAAGAACAAAUGUGUAAGUAACUAUGCACGUCUUGACGGUACCUAGUCAGAAAGCCACGGCUAACUACGUG